Molecule: ribosomal RNA, 253 nt
Filed under: uncultured bacterium
Lineage: Bacteria
Description: partial 16S ribosomal RNA
Rfam family: Bacterial small subunit ribosomal RNA
Source: RNAcentral
UACGUAGGGUCCGAGCGUUGUCCGGAAUUAUUGGGCGUAAAGGGCUCGUAGGCGGUCUGUUGCGUCGGGAGUGAAAACUUACAGCUUAACUGUGAGCGUGCUUCCGAUACGGGCAGACUUGAGGUAUUCAGGGGAGAACGGAAUUCCUGGUGUAGCGGUGAAAUGCUUAGAUAUCGUCCAGAACACCGAUGGCGAAGGCAGGUCUCUGGGCUGACACUGACGCUCAUGCACGAAAGCGUGGGGAGCAAACAGG